GACGAACGCUGGCGGCGUGCUUAACACAUGCAGGUCGAACGGAAAGGCCCUGCUUUUGUGGGGUGCUCGAGUGGCGAACGGGUGAGUAACACGUGAGUAACCUGCCCUUGACUUUGGGAUAACUUCAGGAAACUGGGGCUAUUACCGGAUAGGAGCUCUUGCUCCAUGGUGGGGGUUGGAAAGUUUCGGCGGUUGGGGAUGGACUCGCGGCUUACCAGCUUGUUGGUGGGGUAGUGGCUUACCAAGGUUUUGACGGGUAGCCGGCCUGAGAGGGUGACCGGCCACAUUGGGACUGAGAUACGGCCCAGACUCCUACGGGAGGCAGCAGUGGGGAAUAUUGCACAAUGGGCGGAAGCCUGAUGCAGCAACGCCGCGUGCGGGAUGACGGCCUUCGGGUUGUAAACCGCUUUCGCCUGUGACGAAGCGUGAGUGACGGUAAUGGGUAAAGAAGCACCGGCUAACUACGUG
RNAcentral lists this ribosomal RNA (468 nucleotides) under uncultured bacterium. RNAcentral's name for it is "partial 16S ribosomal RNA". It matches the Rfam family "Bacterial small subunit ribosomal RNA", at positions 28 to 507 of the family's 1533-position model. The record is from RNAcentral.